This is a long non-coding RNA of Glycine soja, 354 nucleotides long. RefSeq lists it as uncharacterized. The record is from RefSeq and is a predicted model, not a curated record. Lineage: Eukaryota; Viridiplantae; Streptophyta; Magnoliopsida; Fabales; Fabaceae. The transcript has 3 exons.
GGCAGAGGAAGGGAUGCUCCUGAUGGAAGGUUUAGUAGUCUCAUUUUUGGAACUAACCUCACUGAUGUAAUAAUCACUGGUUACAAUGGGACAAUUGAUGGACAAGGGUGUUAUUGGUGGGACAAGUUCCACAAGGGUGAAUUGAAACUCACCAGGCCUUACAUGAUUGAGAUUAUGUUCUCUGAUCACAUCCAGAUAUCUAAUCUCACUUUGAUCAAUUCUCCAUCUUGGUUUGUCCAUCCAAUUUACACAAGUGACAUUAUAAUUCAAGGGCUGACCAUUCUUGCUCCAGUUGACUCUCCAAACACUGAUGGAAUAGAUCCAGGUAAAUUAUUAUUAUUAUUUCCACUGGCU